AUUAGCUUUCUCUUGCUUUUCCCUCGGGUGAUGGGUGCGAGGCAGACCCGUGGCUGCUCUCCUGCAGUGGGAGCUGCCCCCAGCCCCACACUGGAGCAUCCUAGCUGUGUCCCUCGCUUGGAUGCAUGGCCAUCCAUCUGUCUCGGGUGCCAUGGGCAUGUCCUACACAAGUUCUAAACAUCUCCGCGGGGUUCCACCAACCGCUGCAGGAGCUGAACGUUAGGAGAUGGGGAAAAACACCCCCUGAGCAUGGGAGAAGGAAGGAAGAAGGAGGAUGGAAGGGGACACAAAGGGAAGGAGCAUUGCAAGGGAAGGCUGGGAGCUGGCCGGGAUUUUGGCCAUCCAUUUGGCCCAGGGUAGGGUGCGUGCUCCACUAGGGUGUCUCCCAGCAGCGGUUGGGUAAACACGGUACAGAGCUGCUCCCUGUGUAUAGCAGAGUCACAGCUGCUGACUGCAGCGACUAAAAUAAGCGUUUCCCUGCUUUUUAUUCCUCUGAGCCCGGCAGAGCCCACUCAGCCCCAGGAGCGGAGCUGGAGUCUAUUCUUAGCCCUGCAGAGCCUCGCAGAGCUGGGAGGGGGAGGGAGUCUCUGCACGGAGCGGGGACCACCGUUUCAACACCAUCCUAUCCCCAGAGCCUGGCCUGGCCCCAGGGAGGCACUGAGGUCCAUAGGGUGUUGAUGUUUGGCCGAGGAGGAUUUGGGAAGCAAGCAGGAGCGGGGAUACCCCAGCACAACUCUCAGCAUCGCUGCAGGAUUCGGCAUCCCCAAGAAGCGGCUGCAAUGCAGGCGGCUUUCAGAGGGUGCUCGUGCAAAGCUGCUUUUCUUCCCACUGAAAUGGGCACGGAGGGAAUCAGAGGAGCUCAGCCCACAGCUGCCUUUGCCCCCAGGAAGGGAGAUUUAAGGGGAGUUUUGCACAGCCCUCUCUGAGAGUCACCCCUCUGCCCAGACGCAGCCAUGAGAUGUUUUUGUCCAUCCCGACCCUCCCCAGUGAUUUCAACGUGUGCUGCAGCCCAUGGCACCUGGGGGACCACUGCCAGCAUCGUGUCAUCCCCCAGCAUCACACCUACAUCACCCCGGGCAUCGUGCUCUGAAACGUGGGGUGAUGCGGGAUGACUCCGUGGACACGAUGCACACAGCUGGUCACACACGCUCCAACCAUCAUCCAUGGGGACAACCCCGGGGACAGGAGCAGGGAUGGGGACAAGGCAGGGAUGGGGACAAGGCAGGGAUGCAGGCAGUGCUGGAGGAGAAGAAGCCCCAGCUCCAUAGCAACAGGUACUCGCCGCGUAAUGGAGUCCUUUCCGCUCGGCCUCCGCAGCCGCCAGCCUUAUUCGCAUGGCCAUAAAUAAUUCAAUUUUCUCAUUCACACACAUGAAUGCUGCGGGCCGGGGCUCCGGGUGCACUCAGCCUCCAUCUGUCUGGGGGGGAAGGGGGAGGCAGGGCUCGAUAAUAGACUCCGGCGUUUGUUUAACAUGGAUGAGUGUGGGCAGAUGGCCUGGGGCUGGGGAGGAGGUGGGGGAUGCUCCGUGGCAUCCCCGAAGUCCCCAGGUUUAGCCCAGUCCCUUGUGCUAGGUGGGGAGGAGAAGAGAGCAGGGACAAGAUCUGGUGCAUCCAAAUCAGCAUCGCUAUUAGAGACAAGCAUGUUUUGGCUGGGAGGGGGCUACGUGCGUUUGGAUUGCCUUUGGAGCAUCCCACCGGGAAAACGUCCUAAGGGUCUGAACUGAAGGAUCUACAUCAGGGUCAGCCCUAUCCCUGGUGGUUUGGGUGCAGGAGCUGCUCCCGACAUGAGAUAUUGUGUCUGGAGAUGGCGUUGGCCAUGCAAUGGGAGAUGUUCUGUGCCACAGCUGCUGUUCCGCACCGUGUCCUGCUCUUUGGGCGGGCAGCCUCAACCCCUGCCUUGGGCACAGAGUAACAGCCCUGGAGAAGGAGAGCAGCCCAGCAAUGAGCGAGCUCCAUACCACCCUCUCCCAGGGAGCGUGGGGAGGCCUGACGAGAGAAAACAAUAUCAUUAGUGGGGUUAAUAGGCUACACACCUGCUGUGGGGGGCUGAGAUGUGAGGGACAGUCAUCACUGCCAUCGCCAUCUCUGCAGGUUUAGCAUCAGCUGGCACAAUGCGUGCCAUAAAAACGUGGGUUAAGAGAUGAGACCAUGCAACAACAUCACUAUCGGCCACCCACACUCUGGGGUCCCUCCGCAGGAGUGGUGUCUGCAGGAGGAGGUGGUGGGAUGGAAGUGGCUGACGCGUGGAUGUGCUGAGUGCUGCCACGUAUUUGGGUACAGCACGUGUGUACGGAUGUGUAUUUGGGUGUGCUCACACACAGACACAAAUUCUCUUUGGGUUGCACUUGGAAUGGGCUCUUGCAGAUAGCAGCAAUCCUGGCCAGCCUGCGCUCCACCACUUUCCCUGCCUGUUGUGUUGCGUUUCCCCUUCUUGCUCCGUAUAUCCAUCUAGGCUGACCACGGUUCUUUUCAGCUCAACUCCAGCCUGCUGCACAGUUCAGAUUAUGUCCACACAGCACAUGCCCCACGCAUGAUCCCGAGUCUCCCUCAGGCACCCCAGCGCCAUAGGGUGAUCAGCCAGGCAGGCCAGUGCCCCCUCCGUGCUGUACGGUACACUGGAAGGGCGGGCAUGGGCUGCUCCAUCGUGCCACCCCCUUCCUCUUAUGCAUGGGGGUUCCCCAGGGGUCUUGCCCUUCCCUGCACGGUGCAGCUGUGCACCCCGCUGUGGGAUGGCCAGAUGUGCAAACACCAUGGUGCCUUGCCUUGGGGUUGCUGCUCAGUUUCUAUCUACCCAACGAUUGGUAUUGUCUCUUCCACUCCAAACCCAGGCCCAGCCCAAGCUCUCACUAUCUUCUACCAUCGCUUUUCUGUAUCCCAGGACGCAGGGAGCCAGCUUCUCUCUGCUGGGCUCGUCCUUGGCUGGACAAUGGAUUUGGCCCUGUUUCUCAAGACCAAACUGCAGAAUCUCGUGGUCUUGGGAUGCCUUGUUCCCAUUACGAGGCUGCUGCCUCUUUGGUGGUGGGGUCCAACGCAGCCCCCGUGGACUUGGGAUGUGGGGACCUGCACAAGCCCUCGAUGGGAGCUGCUGAGGAGCAGGACCAUCUGCAUGGCCCCCACUGGGUUACAUCCUGUGGGAAAGGAUGAACCCUUCCUCUCCCUGGGAGUAGACACGCCGAUCUCCAUGCACACAUCUCCAUUCUGAGCUGCUCCCAGACCCUUUUCCUACCCCAUUCCCUGCCUGCACAUCCAAGUGACACCAAAAUCUGCAGCCAGAAUGAUGGCACUUACCUGCUGCUCACCCUGUUGGGGCUGGGAGGACAGUGGGACAGACACUGGGGGCUGGUCCUUGCCCCCAGGUGAUGGGCAGCCCCUCUCUCCCUGCUCCUUUGCCACACACCGUGGCUCCUGCAGCACCCAGCACCACCCAGCAGCACCCUCUCCGGGUACAUGGCAUCGAAUGGGAUGUACUGGGGAUGAGGAGAUGCCACGCUGGAGACACCCAGUUCCCACACGAGGCUGGCAUACAAGGAAGAUGGGUGCCUAGACGAGGGGAUGGGAGAUGAAUUCAAUGGUGCUCUGGGAAAGUCGGAGUGGAGGUGAUGGGAUCCUGUUGAGCCCAGUGCUGCCCAAAGCAGCAGCAUCCCAGCGCUCGGUGCCAGCAGGGCUCUGCCCCCCACAGUGGGAACCCGUUGUCCCAGGGGUUGCCACGUCUUCUGGAAUCAUCCCCAUUCCCUCCCCAGAGGCAGCACAGCAUCCCCAGGUCUGGAUCGCAGCAGGUGCCCGGCGCCGGGUGUCCCCACAACCUCCCCUUGGUGGCACGGAGCGAUCCCUUUGUCAGAGCCGGGGCUGAAGGGAGUGGAUGCAGAGAGGCAGGAGGGACUGUGGGGCCACGGAGCGCAGCCUUACCUUGGGGGAUCCGCUGCGGUGGUGGGAGGCCCGGGGCAGAAUUAGAUACUGAGUUCGAUCUUAUUUUCUUUCUCGGAAAAAAAUGAGAGACGUUGCAGUGGGAGUCCUCAUCUCAGGGCGGACUCCUUGGCUGCAUCCUCACCCCAGCUGCGUCCCCAGCCGAAGCUUGCUGCUCCUUGGGGCACACGGGAUGCUUUGCCCCAGGGAAAGCCCCACAGAGGCCGUUCCUUUCCGAGGGUAAGGAAAACACCACUGGAGGUUUGUCCUGGAAGAACCCCCCGGAUCCAAUCCACAGAGCAACACCUCCAGAAGGGAUUUCCCUGCGGUUCCCAAAGCACCCAGCGCCGCUCCUACCGCAUGUGGGUGCCUUCAGCUGUGCGCAUUUGGAAGGAGCACCUUAGGAGAGGGCACAGCCUCGAGCAGGGCUACCUGCACCAACCUUGUUCUCUGCAAAGCCCGGGGAAGGUUUGUUUUUCUCUCCUCCAUCAGCGCAGCGUGGAUGGAGCCAUGAGAGGGGACAGCGAUGUGAAGGACCCGGAGGGGGUUUUCUUUCCCUGAGAGCCUCUGUGUGAGGGGACGGCCGGGGCUGUGGGGUGAUGCAGGGCAGGAGCAGUGCAUCCUUCCUUUCCUCCUUCAGUGCUCAGCCCCACUCAUCCCACAGCACUUGGUGCACAGCAGCAGAAGGCUCCUUGCUUCAGUAAACCACCCAAAACAUCCCAAAUGAGCUCUGCUUAUUGUUUUUUAAGCCCCCAUGCUAGCUAUGGGGAUGGAUGGGAAAUAACCUGCGCGGCACUGGGGCUCAUCCCGAGGGAGCUGUGAUGAGGACAUAGGCA
Long non-coding RNA from Gallus gallus (chicken), 4738 nucleotides. NCBI's taxonomy places the organism in Eukaryota, Metazoa, Chordata, Aves, Galliformes, Phasianidae. The record is from Ensembl.